AGAUCAUAAAAUUUUUUAGAUCAAAUUUAUAUUUUAAUAAUUUUAAAUCAAAAUAAUUUUGAUUAAAUAAGAUUAGAUGUAACUAACCAUCUUUGUAACUUACAUCACAUACAACAACACCUAGGAUUUUAAGAUCUAAGAUUUUACAAGAAAGUAAAUUUUCUCUUUUCGCUUUCUUCUUCAUGAGAUCUCACAAUGGCACCCC
This 205-nucleotide long non-coding RNA is filed under the name Elaeis guineensis (African oil palm). Its description in RNAcentral is "long non-coding RNA (EGUI_LNC063910)". The record is from RNAcentral. Lineage: Eukaryota; Viridiplantae; Streptophyta; Magnoliopsida; Arecales; Arecaceae.